This 351-nucleotide ribosomal RNA is filed under the name uncultured bacterium. RNAcentral describes it as "partial 16S ribosomal RNA". It matches the Rfam family "Bacterial small subunit ribosomal RNA", at positions 338 to 706 of the family's 1533-position model. The record is from RNAcentral.
CCUACGGGCGGCAGCAGUGGGGGAUAUUGCACAAUGGGGGAAACCCUGAUGCAGCGACGCCGCGUGUGGGAAGACGGUCCUCUGGAUUGUAAACCACUGUCCCCAGGGACGAAGAUGACGGUACCUGGGGAGGAAGCUCCGGCUAACUACGUGCCAGCAGCCGCGGUAAUACGUAGGGAGCGAGCGUUGUCCGGAAUUACUGGGUGUAAAGGGAGCGUAGGCGGGGAUGCAAGUUGGGUGUCAAAACUACCGGCUCAACUGGUAGUCGCACUCAAAACUGCAGCUCUUGAGUGAAGUAGAGGCAGGGGGAAUCCCUGGGGGAGGGGUGAAAGGGGUAGAUAUUAGGAGGAA